RNAcentral lists this transfer RNA (65 nucleotides) under Aristobrotica sp. REN-2018. RNAcentral's name for it is "tRNA-Pro". The record is from RNAcentral. Lineage: Eukaryota; Metazoa; Arthropoda; Insecta; Coleoptera; Chrysomelidae.
CAGAUAUUAGUUUAUUAAAAAUAUUAAUUUUGGAGAUUAGUGAUAUAAAAUUUUUAUAUAUCUGA